This 1403-nucleotide ribosomal RNA is filed under the name metagenome. Its description in RNAcentral is "bacterial SSU rRNA". It matches the Rfam family "Bacterial small subunit ribosomal RNA". The record is from RNAcentral.
AGAGUUUGAUCAUGGCUCAGAUUGAACGCUGGCGGCAGGCCUAACACAUGCAAGUCGAACGGUAACAGGAAGAAGCUUGCUUCUUUGCUGACGAGUGGCGGACGGGUGAGUAAUGUCUGGGAAACUGCCUGAUGGAGGGGGAUAACUACUGGAAACGGUAGCUAAUACCGCAUAACGUCGCAAGACCAAAGAGGGGGACCUUCGGGCCUCUUGCCAUCGGAUGUGCCCAGAUGGGAUUAGCUAGUAGGUGGGGUAACGGCUCACCUAGGCGACGAUCCCUAGCUGGUCUGAGAGGAUGACCAGCCACACUGGAACUGAGACACGGUCCAGACUCCUACGGGAGGCAGCAGUGGGGAAUAUUGCACAAUGGGCGCAAGCCUGAUGCAGCCAUGCCGCGUGUAUGAAGAAGGCCUUCGGGUUGUAAAGUACUUUCAGCGGGGAGGAAGGGAGUAAAGUUAAUACCUUUGCUCAUUGACGUUACCCGCAGAAGAAGCACCGGCUAACUCCGUGCCAGCAGCCGCGGUAAUACGGAGGGUGCAAGCGUUAAUCGGAAUUACUGGGCGUAAAGCGCACGCAGGCGGUUUGUUAAGUCAGAUGUGAAAUCCCCGGGCUCAACCUGGGAACUGCAUCUGAUACUGGCAAGCUUGAGUCUCGUAGAGGGGGGUAGAAUUCCAGGUGUAGCGGUGAAAUGCGUAGAGAUCUGGAGGAAUACCGGUGGCGAAGGCGGCCCCCUGGACGAAGACUGACGCUCAGGUGCGAAAGCGUGGGGGAGCAAACAGGAUUAGAUACCCUGGUAGUCCACGCCGUAAACGAUGUCGACUUGGAGGUUGUGCCCUUGAGGCGUGGCUUCCGGAGCUAACGCGUUAAGUCGACCGCCUGGGGAGUACGGCCGCAAGGUUAAAACUCAAAUGAAUUGACGGGGGCCCGCACAAGCGGUGGAGCAUGUGGUUUAAUUCGAUGCAACGCGAAGAACCUUACCUGGUCUUGACAUCCACGGAAGUUUUCAGAGAUGAGAAUGUGCCUUCGGGAACCGUGAGACAGGUGCUGCAUGGCUGUCGUCAGCUCGUGUUGUGAAAUGUUGGGUUAAGUCCCGCAACGAGCGCAACCCUUAUCCUUUGUUGCCAGCGGUCCGGCCGGGAACUCAAAGGAGACUGCCAGUGAUAAACUGGAGGAAGGUGGGGAUGACGUCAAGUCAUCAUGGCCCUUACGACCAGGGCUACACACGUGCUACAAUGGCGCAUACAAAGAGAAGCGACCUCGCGAGAGCAAGCGGACCUCAUAAAGUGCGUCGUAGUCCGGAUUGGAGUCUGCAACUCGACUCCAUGAAGUCGGAAUCGCUAGUAAUCGUGGAUCAGAAUGCCACGGUGAAUACGUUCCCGGGCCUUGUACACACCGCCCGUCAC